GACGUAGGGCGCGAGCGUUGUCCGGAUUUAUUGGGCGUAAAGAGCUCGUAGGCGGCUCGUUGCGUCGGCUGUGAAAACCCGCAGCUCAACUGUGGGCUUGCAGCUGAUACGGGCGGGCUGGGAUUCGGUAGGGGAGACUGGAAUUCCUGGUGUAGCGGUGAAAUGCGUAGAUAUCAGGAGGAACACCUGUGGCGAAAGCGGCUCACUGGACCAUAACUGACGCUGAUGCACGAAAGCUAGGGGAGCAAACAGG
This 253-nucleotide ribosomal RNA is filed under the name uncultured bacterium. Its description in RNAcentral is "partial 16S ribosomal RNA". It matches the Rfam family "Bacterial small subunit ribosomal RNA", at positions 524 to 776 of the family's 1533-position model. The record is from RNAcentral.